CCUGGACAUACAUAUAUUUUGACUACAUUGAAAAAUAAAAAGUUUUGAUAGGAUAAAACCUAGAUUUACAAAUACAUUUGAUGUAGGAAACAAUAUAUGUUUUUGUAGUUUGUUUCAUGUGACAAAAUGGUGCCAGUGUUAAGACAAGAUGGCUGCUAUUGUUAAAGUAUAGUGGAAAACAAUAUUUUGUGGUAACAUCUGACAUGUGAUUAGGUUAUACCUCCAGAUUAUUAAACAGUUUAAAGGGGGGUAUGAUUAAUAAGGUAUGAGUAAUAAAAAGUUUGAGAAUUGAGAAUUUACAUGUUCAGAAAGAUUUUAAUAUAAAAGGAAAUUUAAAGAUUAUACAUCACAUGGCAUAAAUGUAAUGACCACUAGAUGGUAGA
This is a non-coding RNA of Pelobates cultripes (western spadefoot toad), 383 nucleotides long. NCBI's taxonomy places the organism in Eukaryota, Metazoa, Chordata, Amphibia, Anura, Pelobatidae. The record is from the annotation of a GenBank genome assembly.